CGGAAUAUAGCGCAGCCUGGUAGCGCGCACCCUUGGGGUGGGUGAGGUCGUGGGUUCGAAUCCCGCUAUUCCGACCA
RNAcentral lists this transfer RNA (77 nucleotides) under Tumebacillus flagellatus. RNAcentral describes it as "tRNA-Pro". It matches the Rfam family "tRNA". From Rfam's summary of the family: Transfer RNA (tRNA) molecules are approximately 80 nucleotides in length. The record is from RNAcentral. Lineage: Bacteria; Bacillati; Bacillota; Bacilli; Caryophanales; Alicyclobacillaceae. RNAcentral also lists the same sequence under 5 other names.